GAGGAAUAUUGGGCAGUGCCCGCUAGGGUGACCCAGCAACGCCGCGUGGAGGAUGAAUGUCGUAAGAUUGUAAACUCCUGUUAGAGGGGAAGAAUAGUACCGGUUGGACCGGUAUAUGACUGUACCCUCAGAGAAAGCCCCGGCUAACUACGUGCCAGCAGCCGCGGUAAUACGUAGGGGGCAAGCGUUGUCCGGAUUUACUGGGUGUAAAGGGCGCGCAGGCGGGAUAAAAAGUCAGUGGUGAAAUCCUACAGCUUAACUGUAGAACUGCCUUUGAUACUUUUAUUCUUGAGUUCGGGAGAGAGAGACGGAAUUCCAGGUGUAGUGGUGAAAUACGUAGAUAUCUGGAAGAACACCAGUUGCGAAGGCGGUCUCUUGGUCCGACACUGACGCUGAGGCGCGAAAGCGUGGGGAGCAAACA
This 421-nucleotide ribosomal RNA is filed under the name uncultured bacterium. RNAcentral describes it as "bacterial SSU rRNA". It matches the Rfam family "Bacterial small subunit ribosomal RNA", at positions 356 to 774 of the family's 1533-position model. The record is from RNAcentral.